RNAcentral lists this transfer RNA (85 nucleotides) under Candidatus Tariuqbacter arcticus. RNAcentral's name for it is "tRNA-Leu". It matches the Rfam family "tRNA". From Rfam's summary of the family: Transfer RNA (tRNA) molecules are approximately 80 nucleotides in length. Lineage: Bacteria; Pseudomonadati; Candidatus Electryoneota; Candidatus Tariuqbacteria; Candidatus Tariuqbacterales; Candidatus Tariuqbacteraceae. The record is from RNAcentral.
GCCGGAGUGGUGAAAUUGGUAGACGCACCGGUUUCAGGGACCGGCGGCACUUGAUGCUGUGGGGGUUCGAAUCCCCCCUCCGGCA